RNAcentral lists this ribosomal RNA (279 nucleotides) under uncultured bacterium. RNAcentral's name for it is "partial 16S ribosomal RNA". It matches the Rfam family "Bacterial small subunit ribosomal RNA", at positions 76 to 353 of the family's 1533-position model. The record is from RNAcentral.
CUUGCUAAGUUUGAUGGCGACCGGCGCACGGGUGAGUAACACGUAUCCAACCUACCCUUUACUCGGGGAUAGCCUUUCGAAAGAAAGAUUAAUACCCGAUAGCAUAAUGAUUCCGCAUGGUUUCAUUAUUAAAGGAUUCCGGUAAAGGAUGGGGAUGCGUUCCAUUAGGUUGUUGGCGGGGUAACGGCCCACCAAGCCUUCGAUGGAUAGGGGUUCUGAGAGGAAGGUCCCCCACACUGGAACUGAGACACGGUCCAGACUCCUACGGGAGGCAGCAUG